Molecule: ribosomal RNA, 465 nt
Filed under: uncultured bacterium
Lineage: Bacteria
Description: partial 16S ribosomal RNA
Rfam family: Bacterial small subunit ribosomal RNA
Source: RNAcentral
CUACGGGCUGCUGCAGUGAGGAAUAUUGCGCAAUGGGCGAAAGCCUGACGCAGCGACGCCGCGUGGGGGAUGAAGGUCUUAGGAUUGUAAACUCCUGUUAAGUGAGAAGAAAGAACCAUCUUUAAUAGAGAUGGGUGAUGACGUUAUCACUAGAGAAAGCACCGGCUAACUUCGUGCCAGCAGCCGCGGUAAUACGAGGGGUGCAAGCGUUAUUCGGAAUAACUGGGCGUAAAGGGUGCGUAGACGGUUUACUAAGUCUCUUGUUUAAUACCCCGGCCCAACCGAGGACCAGCAGGGGAAACUAGUAUGACUAGAGGAUGGAAGAGAGAAGUGGAAUUCUCGGAGUAGCGGUAAAAUGCGUAGAUCUCGAGAGGAACACCGAUGGCGAAGGCAGCUUCUUGGUCCAUUCCUGACGUUGAGGCACGAAAGCGUGGGGAGCAAACAGGAUUAGAUACCCUCGUAGUC